CGCUGGCGGCGUGCUUAACACAUGCUAGUCGAACGAUGAAGCCUAGCUUGCUAGGUGGAUUAGUGGCGAACGGGUGAGUAAUACGUGAGUAACCUACCUUUAACUCUGGGAUAAGCCCGGGAAACUGGGUCUAAUACCGGAUACGACCAAUCUCCGCAUGGGGUGUUGGUGGAAAGCGUUAUGUAGUGGUUAUAGAUGGGCUCACGGCCUAUCAGCUUGUUGGUGAGGUAACGGCUCACCAAGGCGACGACGGGUAGCCGGCCUGAGAGGGUGACCGGCCACACUGGGACUGAGACACGGCCCAGACUCCUACGGGAGGCAGCAGUGGGGAAUAUUGCACAAUGGGCGCAAGCCUGAUGCAGCGACGCCGCGUGAGGGAUGACGGCCUUCGGGUUGUAAACCUCUGUUAGCAGGGAAGAAGAGAGAUUGACGGUACCUGCAGAGAAAGCGCCGGCUAACUACGUGCCAGCAGCCGCGGUAAUACGUAGGGCGCGAGCGUUGUCCGGAAUUAUUGGGCGUAAAGAGCUUGUAGGCGAUUUGUCGCGUCUGCUGUGAAGGCCGGAGCUUAACUCCGUGUAUUGCAGUGGGUACGGGCAGACUAGAGUGCAGUAGGGGAGACUGGAAUUCCUGGUGUAGCGGUGGAAUGCGCAGAUAUCAGGAGGAACACCGAUGGCGAAGGCAGGUCUCUGGGCUGUAACUGACGCUGAGAAGCGAAAGCAUGGGGAGCGAACAGGAUUAGAUACCCUGGUAGUCCAUGCCGUAAACGUUGGGCACUAGGUGUGGGGAACAUUCCACGUUUUCCGCGCCGUAGCUAACGCAUUAAGUGCCCCGCCUGGGGAGUACGGCCGCAAGGCUAAAACUCAAAGAAAUUGACGGGGGCCCGCACAAGCGGCGGAGCAUGCGGAUUAAUUCGAUGCAACGCGAAGAACCUUACCAAGGCUUGACAUAUACUGGACCGCAUCAGAGAUGGUGUUUCCCUUCGGGGCUGGUAUACAGGUGGUGCAUGGUUGUCGUCAGCUCGUGUCGUGAGAUGUUGGGUUAAGUCCCGCAACGAGCGCAACCCUCGUUCUAUGUUGCCAGCACGUUAUGGUGGGGACUCAUAGGAGACUGCCGGGGUCAACUCGGAGGAAGGUGGGGAUGACGUCAAAUCAUCAUGCCCCUUAUGUCUUGGGCUUCACGCAUGCUACAAUGGCCGGUACAGAGGGUUGCGAUACUGUGAGGUGGAGCUAAUCCCUAAAAGCCGGUCUCAGUUCGGAUUGGGGUCUGCAACUCGACCCCAUGAAGUCGGAGUCGCUAGUAAUCGCAGAUCAGCAACGCUGCGGUGAAUACGUUCCCGGGCCU
Molecule: ribosomal RNA, 1341 nt
Filed under: uncultured bacterium
Lineage: Bacteria
Description: 16S ribosomal RNA
Rfam family: Bacterial small subunit ribosomal RNA
Source: RNAcentral